UUCUAGGAACAGCAAUGAGUGAAGUGACCCCCGGACAAUAUAAUGGGGAUUAUAAAAGUAUACUGUGACACAAACAAUAUACCUCUCUAUUGAUACGAUGGUUACGUGUGAUAAAGGGAAGGAGAAAAAACUUUCAAGGGCGGAUUUCCUUUCAGGAUUUGUCGAUGCUGGAAUAGAAUUGACAACUACUGAUACAGAGUUUCUGGACAACAUGCUUGCAGACUACAAGACAGCCGAUGGUAAAAUAGACUACACAUCAUUGAAAUGACAAAGUGGCAGUGACAAGUUGAUGAAUUUCUUUGAAUUAUAGAAAUAAGAUGUAAAGACAUGAACAUAGUAAAUUCAUCAUAUUUUGGAAUAAAAAGUUUUAAAUAUCUCA
Molecule: long non-coding RNA, 379 nt
Organism: Ruditapes philippinarum (Manila clam)
Lineage: Eukaryota; Metazoa; Mollusca; Bivalvia; Venerida; Veneridae
Exons: 3
Source: RefSeq, a predicted model, not a curated record